Molecule: ribosomal RNA, 2901 nt
Filed under: Klebsiella pneumoniae
Lineage: Bacteria; Pseudomonadati; Pseudomonadota; Gammaproteobacteria; Enterobacterales; Enterobacteriaceae
Description: 23S ribosomal RNA
Rfam family: Bacterial large subunit ribosomal RNA
Source: RNAcentral
GGUUAAGCGACUAAGCGUACACGGUGGAUGCCCUGGCAGUCAGAGGCGAUGAAGGACGUGCUAAUCUGCGAAAAGCGUCGGUAAGGUGAUAUGAACCGUUAUAACCGGCGAUGUCCGAAUGGGGAAACCCAGUGCAAUUCGUUGCACUAUCGUUAACUGAAUACAUAGGUUAACGAGGCGAACCGGGGGAACUGAAACAUCUAAGUACCCCGAGGAAAAGAAAUCAACCGAGAUUCCCCCAGUAGCGGCGAGCGAACGGGGAGCAGCCCAGAGUCUGAAUCAGCUUGUGUGUUAGUGGAACGGUCUGGAAAGUCCGACGGUACAGGGUGAUAGUCCCGUACACCAAAAUGCACAGGCUGUGAACUCGAAGAGUAGGGCGGGACACGUGGUAUCCUGUCUGAAUAUGGGGGGACCAUCCUCCAAGGCUAAAUACUCCUGACUGACCGAUAGUGAACCAGUACCGUGAGGGAAAGGCGAAAAGAACCCCAGCGAGGGGAGUGAAAAAGAACCUGAAACCGUGUACGUACAAGCAGUGGGAGCACCUUCGGGUGUGACUGCGUACCUUUUGUAUAAUGGGUCAGCGACUUAUAUUCUGUAGCAAGGUUAACCGUAUAGGGGAGCCGCAGGGAAACCGAGUCUUAACUGGGCGUUAAGUUGCAGGGUAUAGACCCGAAACCCGGUGAUCUAGCCAUGGGCAGGUUGAAGGUUGGGUAACACUAACUGGAGGACCGAACCGACUAAUGUUGAAAAAUUAGCGGAUGACUUGUGGCUGGGGGUGAAAGGCCAAUCAAACCGGGAGAUAGCUGGUUCUCCCCGAAAGCUAUUUAGGUAGCGCCUCGUGAACUCAUCUUCGGGGGUAGAGCACUGUUUCGGCUAGGGGGUCAUCCCGACUUACCAACCCGAUGCAAACUACGAAUACCGAAGAAUGUUAUCACGGGAGACACACGGCGGGUGCUAACGUCCGUCGUGAAGAGGGAAACAACCCAGACCGCCAGCUAAGGUCCCAAAGUCAUGGUUAAGUGGGAAACGAUGUGGGAAGGCACAGACAGCCAGGAUGUUGGCUUAGAAGCAGCCAUCAUUUAAAGAAAGCGUAAUAGCUCACUGGUCGAGUCGGCCUGCGCGGAAGAUGUAACGGGGCUAAACCAUGCACCGAAGCUGCGGCAGCGACACUAUGUGUUGUUGGGUAGGGGAGCGUUCUGUAAGCCUGCGAAGGUGUGCUGUGAGGCAUGCUGGAGGUAUCAGAAGUGCGAAUGCUGACAUAAGUAACGAUAAAGCGGGUGAAAAGCCCGCUCGCCGGAAGACCAAGGGUUCCUGUCCAACGUUAAUCGGGGCAGGGUGAGUCGACCCCUAAGGCGAGGCCGAAAGGCGUAGUCGAUGGGAAACAGGUUAAUAUUCCUGUACUUGGUGUUACUGCGAAGGGGGGACGGAGAAGGCUAUGUUAGCCGGGCGACGGUUGUCCCGGUUUAAGCAUGUAGGCUGAUUGUCCAGGCAAAUCCGGAUAAUCAAGGCUGAGGUGUGAUGACGAGGCACUACGGUGCUGAAGUAACAAAUGCCCUGCUUCCAGGAAAAGCCUCUAAGCAUCAGGUAACAUCAAAUCGUACCCCAAACCGACACAGGUGGUCAGGUAGAGAAUACCAAGGCGCUUGAGAGAACUCGGGUGAAGGAACUAGGCAAAAUGGUGCCGUAACUUCGGGAGAAGGCACGCUGGUGUGUAGGUGAAGUCCCUGCGGAUGGAGCUGAGACCAGUCGAAGAUACCAGCUGGCUGCAACUGUUUAUUAAAAACACAGCACUGUGCAAACACGAAAGUGGACGUAUACGGUGUGACGCCUGCCCGGUGCCGGAAGGUUAAUUGAUGGGGUUAUCCGUAAGGAGAAGCUCUUGAUCGAAGCCCCGGUAAACGGCGGCCGUAACUAUAACGGUCCUAAGGUAGCGAAAUUCCUUGUCGGGUAAGUUCCGACCUGCACGAAUGGCGUAAUGAUGGCCAGGCUGUCUCCACCCGAGACUCAGUGAAAUUGAACUCGCUGUGAAGAUGCAGUGUACCCGCGGCAAGACGGAAAGACCCCGUGAACCUUUACUAUAGCUUGACACUGAACAUUGAGCCUUGAUGUGUAGGAUAGGUGGGAGGCUUUGAAGCGUGGACGCCAGUCUGCGUGGAGCCAACCUUGAAAUACCACCCUUUAAUGUUUGAUGUUCUAACGUUGGCCCCUGACCGGGGUUGCGGACAGUGUCUGGUGGGUAGUUUGACUGGGGCGGUCUCCUCCCAAAGCGUAACGGAGGAGCACGAAGGUUAGCUAAUCCUGGUCGGACAUCAGGAGGUUAGUGCAAUGGCAUAAGCUAGCUUGACUGCGAGCGUGACGGCGCGAGCAGGUGCGAAAGCAGGUCAUAGUGAUCCGGUGGUUCUGAAUGGAAGGGCCAUCGCUCAACGGAUAAAAGGUACUCCGGGGAUAACAGGCUGAUACCGCCCAAGAGUUCAUAUCGACGGCGGUGUUUGGCACCUCGAUGUCGGCUCAUCACAUCCUGGGGCUGAAGUAGGUCCCAAGGGUAUGGCUGUUCGCCAUUUAAAGUGGUACGCGAGCUGGGUUUAGAACGUCGUGAGACAGUUCGGUCCCUAUCUGCCGUGGGCGCUGGAGAAUUGAGGGGGCUGCUCCUAGUACGAGAGGACCGGAGUGGACGCAUCACUGGUGUUCGGGUUGUCAUGCCAAUGGCACUGCCCGGUAGCUAAAUGCGGAAGAGAUAAGUGCUGAAAGCAUCUAAGCACGAAACUUGCCCCGAGAUGAGUUCUCCCUGAGACUUUAAGUCUCCUGAAGGAACGUUAAAGACGAUGACGUUGAUAGGCCGGGUGUGUAAGCGCAGCGAUGCGUUGAGCUAACCGGUACUAAUGAACCGUGAGGCUUAACCUU